RNAcentral lists this ribosomal RNA (467 nucleotides) under uncultured bacterium. Its description in RNAcentral is "bacterial SSU rRNA". It matches the Rfam family "Bacterial small subunit ribosomal RNA", at positions 28 to 496 of the family's 1533-position model. The record is from RNAcentral.
GAUGAACGCUGGCGGCGUGCUUAACACAUGCAAGUCGAACGGGAAAUACUUUAUUGAAACUUCGGUCGAUUUAAUUUAUUUCUAGUGGCGGACGGGUGAGUAACGCGUGGGUAACCUGCCUUAUACUGGGGGAUAACAGCCAGAAAUGGCUGCUAAUACCGCAUAAGCGCACAGGACCGCAUGGUUCGGUGUGAAAAACUCCGGUGGUAUAAGAUGGACCCGCGUUGGAUUAGCUAGUUGGCAGGGCAGCGGCCUACCAAGGCGACGAUCCAUAGCCGGCCUGAGAGGGUGAACGGCCACAUUGGGACUGAGACACGGCCCAGACUCCUACGGGAGGCAGCAGUGGGGAAUAUUGCACAAUGGGGGAAACCCUGAUGCAGCGACGCCGCGUGAAGGAAGAAGUAUCUCGGUAUGUAAACUUCUAUCAGCAGGGAAGAUAAUGACGGUACCUGACUAAGAAGCCCCGG